RNAcentral lists this non-coding RNA (21 nucleotides) under Mus musculus (house mouse). The record is from RNAcentral. Lineage: Eukaryota; Metazoa; Chordata; Mammalia; Rodentia; Muridae.
AGAGCUUAGCUGAUUGGUGAA